AAACGGUUAGCUCAGUUGGUAGAGCACUCGCAAGUAACGCGAGAGGUCGCGGGUUUGAGUCCCGCAUCGUUCA
Leptidea sinapis is the source of this 73-nucleotide non-coding RNA. The record is from the annotation of a RefSeq genome assembly. NCBI's taxonomy places the organism in Eukaryota, Metazoa, Arthropoda, Insecta, Lepidoptera, Pieridae.